UGUGUCAGAGGACAAGAUCACCAUUCUCAAAUAGUCUUCACUGUUCUAAAGGAGAGCAGUUUGUGAGAGUGCUGCCUAAUAGGCUUCUGACAGAGCCAGCUGGGUAAAUCUAAGUCUGAGGUAAGAAUCUGUUCCAGUGGAGCUCAUCUAGCAGAAUGAGCUACCAAAUUUGUUGGUUCAGUUUCCAGGCAAGGAUGUGGCCAUCUGAGAAGUUUCAGUAGGAUCAGCUAUAGUCUCAUCAACAGUGGUGUAAAUCUGGAGGAUCAAAGUUAAGAAGCUCACUUCACUGUACUGUGGGACCAGCAAAUCUGAUGCAUGUGCAACUGGUGUGGAAGCCUGACACUGUCAAAAUUUGUUAUCAUGGGCUCUCUGCCAUCACCCCAGCUGGCAAAAAUGGGACACGGUUCCAGUGCAUGAAUGGAAGGUCAGCCAGGGGAUGCUCUGCUGUCACAGGAAGAGCCUUUCUGGGCUGACUUUCCUGGAAGUUGCUAAUGAUGUAUUUUGACCUCUCUGUUUUAGAGAUGUUUUGCAGUCAGCGAUACUCAGGGAGUGGCACUCCUUGAAACUGACACGUGCUUCAUCUGCUUGUGAAAUGUUGCAACCAAAGAUACCUCCUGUAAAACUUUAUUUGUAGCCUCACUGGAUCAUUAGGAAAAUUCUCUUAAUAAAGGAUGCUCCUGAA
Long non-coding RNA from Melospiza melodia melodia, 682 nucleotides. RefSeq lists it as uncharacterized. The record is from RefSeq and is a predicted model, not a curated record. The transcript is spliced from 3 exons. Lineage: Eukaryota; Metazoa; Chordata; Aves; Passeriformes; Passerellidae.